AUCAAGGGAAUACAACCCUACCACCCCCAGCACACCCAAUCUGGUUUCUGAUUGGUUUCUGAAGCUAAGGAGGGUUGUCCCUGUUUUGGACUUGGAUGGGAGACCACAAGGGAAAACCAGGUAUCUCCUGAUA
Molecule: ribosomal RNA, 133 nt
Filed under: Pogona vitticeps (central bearded dragon)
Lineage: Eukaryota; Metazoa; Chordata; Lepidosauria; Squamata; Agamidae
Source: RNAcentral